GGGAAUCUGUCCUUGGGUUCGGAAUAACAGCGGGAAACUGCUGCUAAUACCGGAUGAAGACGAAAGUCCAAAGAUUUAUCGCCUGAGGAUGAGCCCGCGUUGGAUUAGGUAGUUGGUGGGGUAAAGGCCUACCAAGCCGACGAUCCAUAGCUGGUCUGAGAGGAUGAUCAGCCACACUGGGACUGAGACACGGCCCAGACUCCUACGGGAGGCAGCAGUGGGGAAUAUUGGACAAUGGGCGAAAGCCUGAUCCAGCAAUGCCGCGUGAGUGAUGAAGGCCUUAGGGUUGUAAAGCUCUUUUACCCGGGAUGAUAAUGACAGUACCGGGAGAAUAAGCCCCGGCUAACUCCGUGCCAGCAGCCGCGGUAAUACGGAGGGGGCUAGCGUUGUUCGGAAUUACUGGGCGUAAAGCGCACGUAGGCGGCUUUGUAAGUCAGAGGUGAAAGCCUGGAGCUCAACUCCAGAACUGCCUUUGAGACUGCAUCGCUUGAAUCCAGGAGAGGUGAGUGGAAUUCCGAGU
RNAcentral lists this ribosomal RNA (520 nucleotides) under uncultured bacterium. RNAcentral's name for it is "bacterial SSU rRNA". It matches the Rfam family "Bacterial small subunit ribosomal RNA", at positions 120 to 674 of the family's 1533-position model. The record is from RNAcentral.